CCUGUGUCAACUAAGUCAGCGAGACUGACCACCCGAUCCCGUUAGUCGCCUCUUACGACAAGCAUGGGUUACUGAAGAUCAAUUCUAACUCGGCUCUUCACGGGUCGAUGGUCAACGGAAAUAUAAGA
This is a long non-coding RNA of Haliotis rubra (blacklip abalone), 128 nucleotides long. RefSeq lists it as uncharacterized. The transcript is spliced from 3 exons. The record is from RefSeq and is a predicted model, not a curated record. Lineage: Eukaryota; Metazoa; Mollusca; Gastropoda; Lepetellida; Haliotidae.